GACAGAGGUGGCAAGCGUUGUUCGGAUUUAUUGGGUGUAAAGGGUCCGUAGGUGGCCUAACAAGUCUGAUGUGAAAUCCCAUGGCUCAACCGUGGAACUGCAUUGGAAACUGUUGGGCUUGAGUACCGCAGAGGUAAAGGGAAUUCCCGGUGUAAGGGUGAAAUCUGUAGAUAUCGGGAGGAACACCAGUGGCGAAGGCGCUUUACUGGGCGGUUACUGACACUGAGGGACGAAAGCAAGGGGAGCAAACAGG
Molecule: ribosomal RNA, 253 nt
Filed under: uncultured bacterium
Lineage: Bacteria
Description: partial 16S ribosomal RNA
Rfam family: Bacterial small subunit ribosomal RNA
Source: RNAcentral